GGGAGGCGGAGGCCCCUGACUCGGGCCGUAGGAGGAGGAAGAACAAGAGGCGAGUGUUGCGUCUAAGGCACCUGGGAUGCUCGCUCACUUCUUCUUCCUUCUUCGGGCAGCUCCGAAGGCUUUAGUUUUGGACUCGAGACUGUGGUAAUUGAAGAUUUCUGCUUCUGGCCAUGAUGGAUUAGUGUGCAGCUGACUAAACCCAAAGCCAAGAACACAAGAGAAGAAUCCUCUGGACUCCCUGAGAAAGAGCCUGAGUUGACUGUCUGGGGUAUAAGAGGCUGUGGGGAAGAGAAGGGAAGCCAGACAGCCCCCCAGAAGGAGAGAGAACCCGCUGACCCGCAGCCACCUCAACAGAAGAGAGAGCCCAGUGGCCUGUAGAUUAGGUAAGGGGUAAUGAAGUAUUAUUAUUUUAAAUUGGUGAGUUUUGG
This 428-nucleotide long non-coding RNA is filed under the name Mustela putorius furo (domestic ferret). Its description in RNAcentral is "lncRNA (ENSMPUG00000027974.1)". The record is from RNAcentral. Lineage: Eukaryota; Metazoa; Chordata; Mammalia; Carnivora; Mustelidae.